RNAcentral lists this ribosomal RNA (280 nucleotides) under Trypethelium marcidum. RNAcentral describes it as "partial small subunit ribosomal RNA". The record is from RNAcentral. Lineage: Eukaryota; Fungi; Ascomycota; Dothideomycetes; Trypetheliales; Trypetheliaceae.
UGGUGCUUAUUAGUUGAGUAAGUAAACAUUUAUCUUGUAUAUAGUUCUAGGUAAAAUUUUGAUAAUGACAACUUUUUAUUUAUUUGUCUUGACCAAAUCUUGUGCCAGCAGUCGCGGCAACACAAGGAAGACAAGUGUUAUUCAUCUUAAAUAGGUUUAAAGGGUACCUAGACGGUAAAUUAGGCCAUAGUAGGUACGUUUUUACUAGAGUUAUACAUGCAAGGGGAUUGUGUCAGUAUUACCAGAGUAGAGAUGCAAUUUUUUGAUACUGUUAAGACUG